GGUCGCAAAGAGUCGGACAUGGCUGAGCGACUGAACUGAACUGAACUGAAGCCUUAACUCCAUAAUAUUUAAAAUUAAAUGAAGUAUAUACCAGAUGGGACACUUAAAGCAAGUUUUUUAAAACAUUUUUGAGAUGCUGUGAGCAAAACCUGUGCCCCUCUUUGCCCUCUAACUAUCUUUAUUUAUCUCAUAGAAAUUUAAGUGUGUUUUCCAGAAAGUGGGAACUUGGACACUGUAUAUUAUUAUAGCAAAUAUUUGUUCAUUCUUUCAGCAAAUAUUUAUGAGUACAUAUAGGCAAAACAUAGAUAUAUCUGCUCUGAGUUUACAAGGGUAGUCAAAACAAACCAACUCUGCCUUAAAUAUACGUAUAAAAUUGUUUAUACGAUUUUUUUUGCUUGUAUUGUCAGCAAAAUCCUGAGUGAUUAUCAUACAGAAAAUCUUUGUCCUGGGUCAUUUUAAUAGCCUUAUAGAAAAGUACAAAUUAACUUGACCUUAGUGUCCUUUUCUAGUCAUCCAGAACUGUUCUCCUGCCUCUUAUUAACUCUGCACAUUCCAGAGCCUUUGCUCUUGAAAUGGGCUUCGUAUUUGUCCCUUUUAUUGCCAUUCGGUUGUAAGUGCUGUGAUGAGGUAUGAUCAUAGUUGCUGGGUUUUCAGUAGUUUUGCGGCAUGUUUGUGAGUGCAGGUAGGGAGCAAGCCCACAGGUAAGUUCUGGUUCUAGUGUUACUGAAAGGCAACCGUGGGAAUGAAAGAACUCUUUAUUCAUAUCCCUUUAACACUUCAUAGUCAAGAUUGCUGAAUUCCUCUUGGUUAUAAAUGGACCGCUCGAUGGGCCGUGAUUGUAUUUCUUACAAUGCAGGGUUUCCAGCCACAGACAGCUUCAAUGUAGGGCCCUAGCUAUUGGCUCUUAACAAGCUUGUGUUUCUGUGCAGCAAGAGUGAAGAAUGUGAUGACUGUUGGUUCUUCCCUCAGGGUUUCCCAGGUGUGCUGUGUGGAAUUUUCCCAGCCACUGUGUCUAAAGUUUUCUACUUUCAUUCAUCUUAGUGGUGCUUAUAUGGAGAUUUAUUAUUAAUGUAAUUCUGCUGUCUUUCAGCGAGAGCAAGAUAAUCAUUACUAUAGAGAAAGUAGUAGAAUUAACUGCUUCUUCAGUCAUGGCCUUCUGGCUUUGGUGAUUUUGGUAUUGUAUGCUAUUCCAAAAAGAAUA
RNAcentral lists this long non-coding RNA (1201 nucleotides) under Capra hircus (goat). RNAcentral's name for it is "lncRNA (ENSCHIG00010006156.1)". Lineage: Eukaryota; Metazoa; Chordata; Mammalia; Artiodactyla; Bovidae. The record is from RNAcentral.